Molecule: long non-coding RNA, 9759 nt
Organism: Numida meleagris (helmeted guineafowl)
Lineage: Eukaryota; Metazoa; Chordata; Aves; Galliformes; Numididae
Exons: 3
Source: RefSeq, a predicted model, not a curated record
ACAUCCUCUCCCCCUCAGCUCUCCUCCUGCAUCACUGGUUUUCCAGGUGAUGUGCACCAUGUCAUCUCUCCACAUCUGCUGCUUCAUCUGCUUCUCUGCUUCUCACCAAUACACUCUUGCACUUCCACCUCUUCCCACCUCUGCCAAUCCUAUGCAAUACCCCUCAACUAAGUGCACAUUUUCCAUUCACAAAAUGCAAGAGGAAAACUUUUGUGCUGGAAAUCUCAUAUUGUUUCUCCACCACCAUGGAGAAGGUGACAUCUUCCGAACUCCUUGCUCCUCGUUCUCCCCCAUAUGCAAGCUGCUUUUGAGUGUGUUUUUUCUUCCUCCGCGUAGUUCUAAGAUCCAUUUCUCCCAGGGAAUCUUUAAUCUUUAGUUGCCCGGAGAAGCUGUGGAUGCUCCAUCCCUGGAGGUGUUCAAUCAAGGCUGCGUUGGCUGGAGCCCUGGGCAGCCUGAUCUGAUGGGUGGGAGCCCUGCCCGCAGCAAGGGAUUGGAAAUAAGUGGGCUUAAGGCCCCUUCCAACCCAAGCCAUUCCGUGAUUCUGUGAUGAACUUUUCCUUCUUUCUCAGUUUGGGGUCUCUCUUUUCCCCACUGCAGCAGAUAUAGUUUCUCCUCACUGAGCAGCAGCAUCUCACCACCCCUGUGCCCCUUGGGUGCCCGCUGUUUUCCCCUUUGAUUUCAGGCCUCACUUUGAGGUCCUGCAUCAUUUUGCCAUGGACUUAAUUCUGGAUUUGUGUGCUCCCAUACAUUGUGGUAGAUCCCAGCUUUCCUCUGAUCACUUCCUGCCUUACCUCUUCGUACUUUCCUCUGACGGCUCUAGCUCAUGCCACCCUUUUUCUUAAGUCUGGUCUGGUGAAACAAACCCACUCUGUCUUCAUUCUGAUCUCCCUAUAAAACAUGCUACUGCCACAAAGCCUAUCCAGCUCAGAUUCAUCUGCUGAAAUAUAUUCCUCUAUAAUAAAAACAAAUCUUGUUUCAUAAGAAAGUAAAACUGAGCAAGAGACCGAGUACACAAUUAAUUUUUGCCAGGUGCUUUCUGCCAAGAGCAACACACUUGUUCUCAUUCCCCUCUUCAAUUGCCCUCCCCACAUGCCUCUGUUUGUCCUUUUGUUUUGUUAUCAGCUUCCCAGUCCUUCCUGAGGGGUCCUGGGCUGAUCCUGUGCUCUCACUGGUGUAAGGAGAAACGUCACUGCAGCAAGCAGAGCUUUGCCAAGGUUACAGUGCUGUGAAAGGAAGGCGAAUCACCCUUUGUUUUAAUACUAGCUCAUAAAGACUACACAGCUCCAGUACAGCGCUUUUCUUUUAAUUAGUCAUGAUUAGCAUAUACAUCUCCAUACUCUCUUUUUUCCCUUUGUGGGCUCAACUACUUUGAAGAAAGACUCUUUGCAUGCCUUCUCAGUUAUCCUAUAUCUUACAUUAAAAAAAAAAAGACUCUGGAAGCCUAGGUCCCACUGAACUCCCACACACAGCCGAGGAGAGCUGCUCACCGUGCCAGGAGCAGCUCAUUCCCAGCCUGCCGCCCCUUCCCUGGCGUUGGCACAACCUGGCUGCAGUGACUUCCAGUCCUAAUUGGAGCCUUUGGGCACGAUUGUGUUAUUAUUAUUUAAUAAACAACCACAUAAAACGCUGGCUGACAUUUAAAUAAGAGUAAAGAAAGGGAAGCUCUGACUCCUAGGCUGUUUUGUUUUGCUGUUGACCUGCAGGAGCAGGUUCUCUACACAAUACGUGUGCUUGCGUGGCUCAUGCUCACCUUUAGGGUUUUAGGGAAGACACUAAAAGGGAACAGACGUAUUGCAGCAGUCAGUCCCUGUUGCAACAUAAGCUGCAGAUAUGUAGCUGUCACCUGGGCAUUCUCAAGUGAAAUGCACCCAUGCUCAUCUGAAGGGCCAUCAGGAUAAUCCUAGUGAGAAUAAACGAAAGAGAGAACUUUGCUUUUGCAUUUGGUUGUAAGUUGCAGACAUUCAGAAGAGGAGUUAUCGUAGCAAAAGAAAAUAUUCUGUCCUUGAAGGGAUCUCAAAGGAGCACAACAUGUUCAAUAAGGUUUUGAAAGGAAAGAAAACAAAGAGCUGAAGGCCAGAGCUGACUCCUUCAGAAACAAGUAUAAAAUGCAGGACUCAAAGUACUUAAAAUACUUCAGUGACAAGCAACAAAGAAACGUCUGUUACUAUAAUUGCUUGCAUUAAGUAACGAGCCAGAAAAUCUUGAGAACUUUCUAAAAAGUAGAUAUUUGAUGUGUCGGGAGUGUAAGAACAAAAUUCUCUCAGGCCAUGGCCAGAGCCCUGAAUCAGCAGAACUCUUUUCCUUGAAGAAAGUGAAAACCAGAGGAGGGUGAGUACAUGUGCCCUUAUUAUCUUUUCUCGUGGUGGAUCAAAGAGGUGGCAUUCUCAGGGUUGCCAGUUUCCUGCAAUGAAUCUGGAGUGCAGGGCUUAUUUCUCUGUUAGGCAACUUCUCAAAUGCACUAGUCUUGUAAUGGACUUCUUAUGAGAUCUGAAUCUUAUUUACUAGCUUGCAUAUGGUAUAAUUGUUUUAAAGGUAUUCAGUAGGAGUGAAGCAUUCCUGCCAUUUAGAAAAAUUAUAUACAUAUAUGCUUUAAUUCGAGGGUGUUCACCCCUCGUUCUUCCCACCAUUUCAUUACCUGCUUGCUCUCCCUAUGUUAUAUAUUAAAAGCUUCAUGGAGUGGUUUGCUUGCAUUUACAUAUGCGAAUGGUAAUAGUUCUGUGAUGUUGCUUGGAACUUCUGCAUGAACAUGUUAUAUAAAGUCAGUAUGGGCAUGACAAAUGUAUUGCAGAUUUUUCAUAGAUAAACACAGGCAGUGAAGGCGAAUAUGAAUGAGUUUGUGCACAAGCUUUAAUAUCUAGGCAGAGCUUGUAUGUGCGUAACACCUGUAACCACAACUGUCAGUGCAAACAGGGAAACUCGUUUUAAGGCAUUUGUGCUGAUUUAAAAGUGCUGGACUUUGAAAUACUUCAGCUGGCAUGGUGCAAAUGUGUUCAUCCUCUGGCAGAUACUUAAGUGCAUAAACUCUGUUAUUAAAGAAUACAAACUUUAUUAGCAGUUGAUAUUCCACAGAUGUUGGGAAAACAGGUACCCAAAUGGUGAGAAUCCUUUGUGCGGCAGGUGAUGGCUUCUAAAGACAUUAUGUAGAUCUUACUGGGACAUGGAUUAAAAAGUGCUAGUUAAUGGUCUUUGAUGGUCUUUGGGAGAUGAGCAUUAAGCAUGGAGAAUUUUUUAGAAGACAAAAUGGAAGUGUAUAAGAAAAGUGGUGGAUUUGCUUUAGUGCCUGUGUAGCUGGUAGUAGGGAGUUUUCUUAUGAAAGACACUCCAGGGGUAUGCAGCGUAAGGAGGAAAUGGGGGCUGUUUGAGCAUGAACUCUAUACAGAUUAUAUGGAAUAAUCUUCUCUGGAAGGGAGACCAAGUGUCUAUUUCUUGUGAGAGCACUGAAACAAGCAUAGCAUAUAUUAAAAAUGUAGAGAAGUAUGCUCUGUAAAGUUUUCUGGUGCAUUUUAUCAAAGCUGUUCAUGUUACAGGAAGAAAAAGAUACAUGGAAGUUUGGGGUUUUAAUCAACAAAACGAGAAAACAAACAUUUCUCAACCUUUUCUUUGUUCCUGAAUACAACCUUAUCUUGUUUUGUUACUUGCUGGAGGUAAAGUUGGCCUGAAUUGUCCUGCAGAAUAUUUCCUAGAUACAGAGUUCAGGUUCAACAUCUGAAGGAAACUGUUUCUCUGUUCAACCUACUCAUUCAGUGUAUGAAGUAUGUUCCACCUACUCAUUCAGAAUAACACCAUACGAAGUAGCUAUUGAACUGCUGUAAGAGAAGUUCUGUUUCGUAGGGAGAGGAAAUGAACUUACCUUUGUGUUUGCAUCUCUUUAGAGCUUAGCAUAAGAGACUUAUUCAUGGCAAAUCAAAAGAAGACUGUCUUCCAAAUGCCCAGUAGAUUGAAGAAGGUGAUUGGGAGCAUCUGUAUCUCCCCAUUUGUCACUUUUGCUUGUUGGUUGCUCCUGCAGAAUACCUGGAAACAUCAGUUAAACAAACAAACACCCCCAAAAACAAAACAAAUUAAAAAAAAGACACAAAAUAUAAAUAAAUGACAUUAGUCUCAUUGUACUUUAGAACUCCUUUUUUUCUGUAUAGCAUUAGGAUGAUGUCAGAGUUUGAUUAUAGGUUAGGCUGUUCCAAUAAGAGCAAUUAAUCUGGGGGCAAAAGCUGGUGAGGACCCUGUCAGACACUGAACAAUGUUUUUGGUUUUCAUGCACUGAAUCAUCAGUGUUUAUAGGCCUCCAACAUGUAAAUCACCCUGAGGUAAUCUGGAAGGGAAGGAUAUGAAUAAGCCAAUUAAAUUGGCAAAGAGCCUAAGGAACACCCUGUUUAGGGAUAAAAUCACAUGCCUGUCCUUGUGUCAAUAGUUCUGGAGAAAGAAAUGGAACUCAAGCCCUUGUAAUUAAUUUCUUUGCAGAUACACGUGAUUUAGAAGACUUUGGUCUUCUCUUUUUGUAUGUAUGAGCUCAGGUGACUGAGAUAAGGUGUUUUGUGCAAGUAACUCUUAUUUUGAUGACACAGAAGGAUGUCAUCCAGGUUGCAGAGGGUGUAGGAACUAGUUGCCUCACAUAUGGUAAUUACUUCUUAUUCAGUUUUAUGAUAUGAAUAUACAAAGGACUGAAUUGCCCUUUAUCUUUCCAAGUACCUCCUUUUUUUUUCCUUUGGAAAGGGAGGCACAAUUUUCCACUAGGAAACCUCCACCCAACUCUGCAGUUACCAGCAUACUUUAAGGUGCUCUGUAUCUAAAUAACAAAAACAACUGAUUUUUCCUACCAUAUGGCAAGCCCAUGCCAUCAAAGGCAUGAUGUAACGGCAAAAAAGGUAGAGGUGAAAAACAUUUUUCUUUGGAAGUUGUGAAGAGGGAAAAACAUUUGCAUUCUUAGUUUAAUUUUUCACAAGAUAAAUGGGCAAAUGGGUACUUCCUGUGCUUUUAAGAGGGUUGCUGCAUUUGCUGGAAGUCUAACUGGAUAUUUCUGCCAUCCCACCCAGAUCUUUGAACUCUUAGGCUAAUAAUUCCCAUCAGGCAAAGAGCUGGCUCUCUGGAAGAGACAGACUGCAUACGCCUCCACUGGUGGAAAGGCCCCGGCAAAACUCACAGUUGACAUCAGGCAGUUUACGUGGGAGUGGAUUAUUAUGAGAUCCCCAAGUGUGGGAGAAGUUGUAAUUGGCAUUUGUACGUUACUAGGCAUCAUAGAAUUUAGUUGUAAACAAAUCCAUAGGAAAUAGAUAGGAGUCACCAGAUGCACUGCUCACAGAAUUACUUGUUUAAGGCACUUUUGGGUCUUAAUUCUUUAGAUGCUGUUAAGAGUAGAGGAGGCACCACCUAACACCCCUCUGGAUGCCUUGAAAGUAACAGCACCACAAAAUCCUAGAUACAACGCACAGACUGGCAGAAGACCCAGACAAGCAUAGCUGUUCAAGAUGGUUUGGAUUCCUUUCACCCAACCCCAGCCAUCUGAUAGCUCACCAUUGAGCCAGAGCUGGUCUCCACUCCCCAUGGAGACAAAGAGGCACCUUCCCGGAACAAUUUGUUCCAGACCAAAAUAGGUAUAAAAUGGCUGUGAAGAGCUCUUCUUUUUCUUCUUCUCAAGUUGUGUGCUGAGAAGCCUUGAUGACGGUCUGAACUCACUAGACAGCUGGUGCUUGAUGAGGUGAAUCCCCACCUGAGCCUACAGCUCCUCUGGGGCCUGGCCAUGCAUUGCUGGCAGCAGAGCAAGCUCCCAUUGCUCAAGAAGGGCUUGAAGUUUUGCACCAGCGGGUCAGCACAAGAGUCUCUUUUGAUCUGAACUGGAACGGGAGGCCCGCUCAGCCUCUCAGACAUGUCUGUGGCCCUUAUUCAUCUUCAGGCAUUCAGGCAGUGCUCAGAGCAGUGGAAAGAAACAGAAAUAGCUGCUUUCACUUCUGUAUUGGUUUAUGGGCCCUGCACAGAAACAGGAACUGAAGUAAGGUUAAGCAGGGUUUAAAGGAACAGCAUUUGGUAAAAGAAGGGAGAAACACAUGACCUGGCCAAGUCUAACUGCAGCGCAGCGUACAUAAGCGGUUGCUACAUCCUCAGGAAAACAAGGGCCUGGGGAAACAGCCCAAGGCUGGGCUGCAUAAAGCACAGAGUGCAUGAGCCAGCCUAAGUCCCGCAGUCCCCAUAGACAGAGCUCUGGAAUCACCGUGACCUUCCUCCUGCCCUUGUUAGACUGAAAUAUGUAGCGCAGCUGUAGGACACAGUUCAUCAUUUAUCAAGGGUAAAUACAGUUCUGGAUGGGAACAUGGAGGUGAGAAGUGUUCCGCACACAGCGUUUGCUUGCGUGUUGUGGCUUGCUGCUCCGACAAAACAGAACUCUUUGUCUUUUUGUAACACUGGUGAGUGACUCCUUAUCUUAACCUUGCGAGAUCUUUCAAGUGUGUUCAUGAAUAGGAAGAUGAUUAAGAUGACACAUCAAGGUUUCCUGAAUGCUUAUUGCGAUUCAGCAGCAUCCUCAUGUGUUUCUUAGUUUUUGUUCCAAAACAAGGUGUUUCUAAUCUCUGGUGUGAUUGGUAAACCACAUCCUCUCCCCCUUGGUGGCCCAGCUUACUGUGAAACUCCAGCAGAGCAAAAAGAAAGUGAGUUUAAGCGAGGAGCUGUUGGAGCUACAGCAGAUAAUUUGGCAAACACUGAGGUGACCUCUGCAAAGCAGGCUUCCCCUGCUCUGAACAGUUACUGUGACAAAACCCAAGGCUAAAAAUGAAGUGACCUGACCAAAAAGCUUAGUGCGAGAGAGGCUAAAUGGGGAUUUAGAUGAUAUGUUUUGUAGGGGAGAUAGAGAAGAUAGCUAUGUAGCGGGGGAAGAGUUGAAAGUCUUGCUCUGAACACAUCCAUAAAUCAUCAUGCCAGGUAGGGUAUUUUCUCUUCCCCCGAGUGCUUUGCAGGCUGGGAGUCUGCUUCAGCCACAGCUGCUUCUCUUCAAGAGCCCAUUAGAGCCACAAGACUUGUUUUUGAGCUGUGUAUGAAAGAUGUAAUGCUUGUCUCUGUCAUGCAGCUGAAGAAUUAGGUCUGUAGCCUGACUAAAGUGCCUUUUUUGAGGAGAGGACUCAUAUUUAAUUGCCCUACAUCUAAGGAAAUCUAAUUUCGGAAGCACAAGGACACAGAGGGAAAAAAAGGAAGCCUGAUUUUUCCAGAGUUGAAGUGAUGGCAUUGGUGCAGAGAUGUAUGUCACCAGGAGUGCCUCUGGGCCUUCUGGCCACCACAAUUGCUAACAGAGGGCAGGAGGACAACUGAGGCCAGUGGCUUCAGGGACAAACAUCCCUGGUGUACAGACAGUACCUUUUGCAAAGGGCUGAGGGGUCUACAAGAGGUAGUGGAAUGCAGAAAGUUUUUCCCUGGCAUCUGAUGGCUUUUAGGGCUUCUACACCCUACUUGCAAAGUGAAGUAGUUGUAGAGGUGUCCUUUUCUUCAAAGUACUUUACGCUUUGUGCAAGGCUACAUUUGGGGUAAGUGCGCUAUAGGCACACCCAGUUCAGAAGAGGUAGAGAUGAAUUCACAUUGUAGCCUCGUUUCCUUGAUUUGACAGGGCAGAGGGAGAAAUCCCAGGAGGCAUAUAUCCUGAGAUUUAUUCCAAAUUGGUUAGAAAGAGCAAAUGAAAAAAUCUGUGUGCUUCUUGAUGUGUACACCCACACCUCUGUAACACUCAGCCCUUCUUGCUUUCUGCCCUCCUGCUCCUACCCCAUCAGCUCUGUAGCCCCAAGGACUGUUACCACUUGCUCCUUGCUAUCUGGUGCCCUCUGGUGCUGUAAACACCUGCCCAGGCUGAUCCCAUCACACCCCUGUACAGGUGUGGGGACCAGCACGUCCCCCAACGGGGUACUUGUGAACUUUUUUCUGCUUUUUUCCAGUUGCAGCCUGGCUGUUAGAGAAUCUUCCACGGUGACACGGUGCAGAUCUCUGCCACCUCCUUGGAAGCGGAUCAAACCCAUUUUAUUAAAAACCACCAUUUGACUCCUCAUGUUUUUCUACUGAUUAAGAACAUUGACUUGGCUAACUGAACAAGGGAACCGAUUGUGGCUUGACUGCUUCACACUGGAAAAGCUUUGAUCGGACUGAGUGGGAGUUUAUGUUUAAGGACUUCCUCUGGCUGUGCUCUGUGAUGGAUGGAGAGAUACUGAAGGGAUGAUGUCAGAAGAGUGGGAAGUGAAAGCUGAAGGGGUUUUUGAAGUGGAAGCUGAAGCUGAGUUUUGAAAAAAGAAAUUGGUUAAUGUCUAGAUAGCAGAAAUGACGAUUUAGCAUUUGAGAGAAAGGAUGUGGGACAUCAGAGCAGUCCCAGACCUGGCUGGCUUUAACAGACGUACAUUUUAGAGGGCUAAAGCACCUUUAGUGCCCUUCCUCAUACACACGGAGAAACCCACCGCUGGUUGGAGAGUGAGGCACAAUUGUAAACUCUCUAUUCUAUAUAGUAAUUUUAUCACUGCUGCUGUUUAUCAAGCCAGUUGCUUUCGUGUGUUACCUGUGUGCAGUAAGAAUAAAACUUGCAGGAUAUAGCUACCAUUCCUUAGUAAUAAGGGAGAGAACAGUCAGAAGCACAAAGAUGGACUUCACUGAAAAUAAAAGGGUGAGACAGCCAAAUUUAACUUUAAAUGCAUGAGUAAGCUAGGAAAGGGAGGAUUGCAAAAUCUGUUUCUAUGGCAAUGCCACCCUUCAGUGUUACCUUACACAAUCAAGAUUACAUCAUCAGAACAAACUUUCAUCAGUUCAUCACAGUUUGGCUGUAUGACACUAUUUUGAGCUCAGUGUGGAAAUGAUGCUUUUAUAUAAAUUCGCCACCUCCAGGGUGUUGCAAACAGUGUAGGAAACCCCAUCCAGUCAUAGCCUGCCACAGGCUGCUGUGGGAGAGACCAUCACACCACACCACCCAAAACACUAAAUGGAAAAUUCAGGAGCUAGAGGAUUUGUAGGGGCUUCCUGUCCAAAGUCACCAAAGCAGGAGACUCCACAGCCCCUGGGCAGCCUGUGCCAGUGCUCAGCCAUCCUCACAGAAAAAAAAAAAAGUGUUUCCUGGAGUUCAAGAAAGAUCAAGGACUUGCUUUGGAUUUGUCUGGGCAGACAAAUUUUUCUAUUGUGUUUUUCCUUUGGUAACACAGCCAUCUUGCAUCUGCGCCAGAAGCCGUGUGCAUGAGGCAUAGCGGUACCUCCAAUGUCAAAGUGCUGUAGCGAGACAUUAGGUACCUUCUCAGACUGCAUGGUGCAGGAGAAACCCUUCUCCAGGUCAGACCUGCGCCCAUGAUGUGCCAUGAGGCCACAUACCAGAGCAGUGGGAGAGAUGGAGCAUCUCUGCCAUUUCUCCCAUGUGCCCUGAACAGUGGUGAGUCAAGUGGGGUCUCACUCAGAGCCAGGCAUGCCCAUGCCAAGUUAACCCAGCAGUGUUUCUAAGCUCACGUGAACAGCCAGAGCUGAUUUAUCCCAGCUUUGCACCAUGUGGCAUUUAACUUGGCACAGGGCACUCUAAGGCUGGCUUUGGCACAUCACUGAAUUGUGGCUCGGAGCUGUGGCGAAGGCUAGGCCAGGCUGCCUGGAGGACUGCUGGAUCUGUCUGGCCUUGAGGUGGAGGUUUUGCUGUGUUCACCUGCAUUCCUGGUGCUGCAUGCUGUAACCAAAAGCCCCUGACCCUGGGGCCAAGUCCUGGGCCUCUGCAGCAGUACUAGAUCUGCAGCAGCUGCCUUACACAGCCUUGACUAUUAAAAUAUCUUCACUUUUAUU